RNAcentral lists this long non-coding RNA (546 nucleotides) under Solanum tuberosum (potato). RNAcentral describes it as "long non-coding RNA (STUB_LNC001751)". The record is from RNAcentral. Lineage: Eukaryota; Viridiplantae; Streptophyta; Magnoliopsida; Solanales; Solanaceae.
GCAGCUCUAUCUGGCGGAGCCACUGAAAAAGAUUAGGUUGUAUUGCCCCCAUUGUCAUUACCUUGUAUGUUCUUAGGGCACUCUCUCAUGAAGUGACCAUUCUGACCACACUUGAAGAAACCAGUAGAGCCAUCAUGACGCGUUCCUGAGUGGUUCCUACCAUACUUAGCACAUGCAGGAUUUUCAUUACCUCUUUGUGCCACACUACCUUGAGACUGUGCAGGUCUAGCCCUGAAGUUCUGAGAAUUGUGAUCUCUCACUCACCUAUGUUCCUUGGUGUAGGUGCACUAGCAGGCGAUGGAGCAGGUCUAUUUGGCUUUUGCUGAAAAGAUGACUAGUUUGCAUUACUUUUCGGCUGCCUGGACUCGUUUCCUAUUGUCUUAGAUUUCUUGUUUAGGAACUCUUCUUAUCCCUCAGCUUACCUUCCUCAACAUAUUGCACAUGUAUCAUCAACCUUGCUAUGUCCAUGUCCCCUAUCAACAUCGCAGCCUUACCCUUAUUGCUUGACAGACAAGACAACCAAGACACAAACAAGUUCAUCAUGCU